AUCGGGUUCCAAAACCGGGAUCGAUCGAUCGAAACUGGGGAGUUCUUAAGUUCUAGCCUCAGAGGAGAAAGAAAUCAAGAAACUGUACUUGAAAGUCGAAACAAGUAAGGGGUCAUUAGGAGGAAGAAACUUUACUUGAAAUAUCGCACCUUGAGUAUUACAUACCUUUUCUUGGCAACGUUUCGUGAGAAGGUGUUUUCAGAGAAGGCUUCAAAUUGCUCUUCCUUCGACCCAUUUAGAAACGAAGGCUUCACAGGUUUUCAGUUGCGCCAUACGCUUCCUCCAACUGUGCAAAAGGGAGGACGGGGGUUUGGGGUUGAAGUUAGAGAUUAAUAAUUUGAUUGUUCUUCUAAAAUGGGUCGAAGUAAGAAGACUAGAAAGUUGCAGAAACGGGUGGAAGAAAAAGAGAGUGCAAAAAGAAGAAUUCUGGUAGAAGAGCAAAGGCCAUGGUCUGACCUACCAACAGAGCUCCUCAUGCUCGUUGAAUCCAGUCUCAGCCUGGAAGACAGCAUUCGUUUUUCAUGUGUAUGUAAGAACUGGCAUUCCCUGCAUCGUUCACAUCGGGUGGUCAACCAGUCCCCAUUGCUUUUGUUCCCCCAACUUGACGAUGGCUUAUGUGAGUUUUUUGACCCUUCACAGCGGAAGUCUUAUUUUAGACACAUCCCAGAGUUAGUCAAUGCAGUGAUUUGCUGCAGCAAAGAUGGUUGGCUUUUGCUGUCCAAAAUUGAUGGGAUUUCCUUACUAAAUCCCCUCACCAAGUCAAAAAUUGAUCUUCCUUAUUUUGAUCCUUAUCAAUUUGAUGAACUAGAAGUUACCUUAUCUUGUGGUCCGACAUCACCUGGCUGCAUGGUUUUUGCAAUUGGAGAUACCAAUCCAGAUGUUUCUAUAAGCAUUUGGCAUUACGGAGAUGCACAGUGGACAAACAUUAACUUCCAGAAUGACUUGCACUUCCCUGUUUGUGGUAGUACUCCAGUUUUCUGUGGGGGGUUAUUUUAUUGUUUGAAUAAUUUUAGUUUUAAUAUGGUAGGGGUUUUUGACCCAAAGGAAUAUACAUGGAGUAUCCUUACUGUACCUCAACCAAUUCAAUAUAUUCGUCGGAGAUAUCAGUGGAGAGCUGUAUAUAUGGCUGAAUGCAAGGGAGAGCUUUUAUUUGUACACAUACUUUAUCCUGCCAAGCCAACUAUAUUCAAGUUGGAUUUGAGUGAGAUGAGAUGGAUAGAAAUAAGGAGCUUGGAUGGUGAAACACUUUUUGUCAGCGGAGCAUGUUCUCUUUCAGAAUCUGAAAUCCCAAGAAUAUUAAGGAAUAGUGUCUAUCUUCCAAGGUUUCGUCGAUAUGGAAAUCGGUGCUACUUUUAUUCUCUUGAGUACUGUAGGUAUUAUCCUACUAUGCAGUGCCCUGAUUGGAAGAGGGACAAACUUUUCAGUGCUGUUUGGAUUCAACCACCUAAGGUGACUCAACCUUUAUUCGAAGAGCUCGACUGAGAUUAUGCUUGUUUUAGGAUAGAAGGCUUUGGCAAGUAGGUCAUCUUUGAUGGCAGGAUUGUACUAUAGAAUCAUAGAUAGCACAAUAGCAAUAAUGAUUGAGUUUUCCAUAUUGACUUGGAAGUGAUUGAAUCCCAUUGGGAACAUUGACAUGUCUUCCAUGUUCUGAGGGUUGGCGAUGAGAUGGUUAUAAGGGUUGGAGUUGAUGAAACCGUUAUGGAAUAUCAGUUGCAUGCAGGAUAGGAGUGAGACCUCUCGGCCACUAUUGAAGAGUAGGGUUUGGCAAUCUUUUCGUCAUUGCAGCAACCAUGGUGGCAGCGAAGAGACUCAUUAGAGCAUCAACAACCGGCUCCCGCUUCAUAAGAAAAUCAGAGAUAGGAGUACUACGCAUUGUUGUCAAAAUUUGGAGCGACGCUGAUCUGGGUACUGCUUGUGGCAAAUACUUUAGGGUCUGCUGCCCCAGUAUUACUAACCCAGGGAAUUCUGAUAUUAUCAACAAUAAUUACAGUAUGAUCCGACCGACCAUGACCCGAUGGAUUGAUUCGACUUGGAGGAGUACAUAUAUGUAUUAUUAUUUUAUUGAGCAAGUGUUGUGAGAUUUAUGGUUUUUUUCGAUUUAGAGUUUUUGGGCGAGAGUUUCUGGCUGCGAUUUCGGGUGUUCUUGAGAGAUCUCCAUUGUAAACAUUGUUUCAAUGUAGUGAAUCAUUUUCUUUUCCGCCCGAAAACGUAGCACCCGACAUUGGUGUGUGAACCUCGUUAAAUCUUUGUUUGUGUCAUACGUAAAUCUAUUUGUUUUUAUCGCCUUUCUUUGGUGUUUGUUCA
Molecule: RNA transcript, 2304 nt
Organism: Macadamia integrifolia
Lineage: Eukaryota; Viridiplantae; Streptophyta; Magnoliopsida; Proteales; Proteaceae
Gene name: F-box/kelch-repeat protein At1g57790-like
Exons: 4
Source: RefSeq, a predicted model, not a curated record